Molecule: long non-coding RNA, 506 nt
Organism: Fukomys damarensis (Damara mole-rat)
Lineage: Eukaryota; Metazoa; Chordata; Mammalia; Rodentia; Bathyergidae
Exons: 3
Source: RefSeq, a predicted model, not a curated record
AUGUCACUUACCAAUUCCUUUUGCAAUAUUUGGUGUGUUGGCCAGGAAGGAAAAGCUUAACUGACACAGCUCAUGUUGGGCCAAACCCGAGUCCCACAGGAAGGAGUGGCUGUCCACCUCCUCAGAAGGGAAGAGGUACACCCCCAGGAUUUCCUGUGUUCCUUCUCUAGUACUCAGAGGCCAGCUCCCUGACAGCAGAACACAUGAACCCAGAACAGAUACAGCAAAGGAAGGCAAGUUUAGAAGCCAACAUCUGACCUUGCACGUGGGACGGCCAGUCCUCUGGUGAAGUGAGCUUCCUGUCAUGUUCACCACCAUGGACAUCAAGGGGAGAGAGCCCAUCAUCCUGCUGCUGGUGUCAACCCUGGUCCUGUGCCAGAAUGUGGCCUCCCAUCCCACCUGUCUCUCAGGGCCCAGAUGCUACAUGACCGUCCAGGAAAUUAAUAAUAAGGCAAUCUAUACUACAAUACAGAUGCAAUUCAACUCUUUAGAAGUGUUCCUGGAAU